Long non-coding RNA from Mugil cephalus (flathead mullet), 593 nucleotides. RefSeq lists it as uncharacterized. The transcript is spliced from 3 exons. Lineage: Eukaryota; Metazoa; Chordata; Actinopteri; Mugiliformes; Mugilidae. The record is from RefSeq and is a predicted model, not a curated record.
UGACAGUGGCGUUGAUGGAUUUGGUACCUGGCUCUACAAUGGGCCUCAUAACAAGGUAGUGCACUCCAACAUCUCCUGUUCUGUCUUUGGGACUCAGCACCCAGGGGGACCUGAGUCUUGGCUACAUAAGUGUCAUCAUUUGGAUAGUCUUUAUAUCCCAGAAAUAGCAUGAAGGAAAUGUCUUCAGAUGGCUCCAUUUUCAGCACGAGCGUUACAUCUGGUGAGGGAACGUCAAUUAUUAAUGUGCUAAAAUUGGCAAGGUCCAGGACUGUGCUGUUUGCCUGCCCAUCGUCAAGUCUUGGCAAGUCCUCAACAGGGAUGACGGUGCCGUUCAGCCUGGUGAGAGAAAGGGAUCCUACAGUUCCGGUGAUGUUUGCUUCCCUCCAAGAAUAAGGAUUCUUCUCGAAACUCAUCAUCUAGAAGAUACAUAUAUAUACACUGAAAAAAGUCUACACAACAGUGACUAUUUAGUAGUAAGUUCAUGUAAUUUGUCCUUCACUAUUGGUAAUUUAUGCUAACUGACACAAUGCAGAGCACUAUAACAGUUAUAAACAGCAGUUUAUACUGUAUGGGAAUGGCCUUUAGGCUCUGUU